UUGAAUUUCGGGAUACAAAUUGUCGGACGUGCUUCGGUACGCACUGGCAUUAUUGGUUUCUACCUUCUGAAGAACCGCGAUGUCAUUAAUUUGGUGUCGUGGGGAAUCAGGACUGUUACUUGAAAAAAAUUAGAGUGUUUAAAGCAGGCGCACGCUUGAAUACAUUAGCAUGGAAUAAUGAAAUAGGACGUUUGAUUCUAUUUUGUUGGUUUCUAGGAUCGACGUAAUGAUUAAUAGGGAUAGUUGGGGGCAUUAGUAUUCAAUUGUCAGAGGUGAAAUUCUUGGAUUUAUUGAAGACUAACUACUGCGAAAGCAUUUGCCAAGGAUGUUUUCAUUAAUCAAGAACGAAAGUUAGGGGAUCGAAGACGAUCAGAUACCGUCGUAGUCUUAACCAUAAACUAUGCCGACUAGGGAUCGGAUGAUGUUAAUUUUUAAUGACUC
Molecule: ribosomal RNA, 441 nt
Filed under: fungal sp.
Lineage: Eukaryota; Fungi
Description: SSU rRNA
Rfam family: Eukaryotic small subunit ribosomal RNA
Source: RNAcentral